Long non-coding RNA from Daphnia pulex (common water flea), 402 nucleotides. RefSeq lists it as uncharacterized. NCBI's taxonomy places the organism in Eukaryota, Metazoa, Arthropoda, Branchiopoda, Diplostraca, Daphniidae. The transcript has 3 exons. The record is from RefSeq and is a predicted model, not a curated record.
GCUAUAAGUGAAAUGGCGAAACAAAUUGGCAAAUUGCUGAUUUGCUGCUAAUUUCUACUUCUAUUCCUGUAAUUUCAAAUACCGAAUUUAACUUCAUAAGUUCAUAUCUAAUAUCAGCAUAGCCUACUGUCAGUCAUUCCAACAAGUUGACUAGUAGCGCUGAGUCAAUUUCCAUCCAUUAGAUCCUCAUGCUGUCAAAAGCCUAAAACUCAUGUUUGAAGCCCAGAUAUUGUGGAAUACAAAAUAUGUAUCGAGAUAAGAUAUUUCCCCAUGACUGACACUACCAGACCAUUACAAUUCAGAUUUUCAUAAACAUAGAAGGCAACCGGCAACCCAGCUUAGAUCUUAGCUGGGUUGCCUUCUAAACCCAACCCGAGUUUGAUAUAGUUUCAUUUCUUAUAG